CGGGGAGGGUUCAUUGGAAACUGGGGAACUUGAGUGCAGAAGAGGAGAGUGGAAUUUCCACGUGUAGCGGUGAAAUGCGUAGAGAUGUGGAGGAACACCAGUGGCGAAGGCGACUCUCUGGUCUGUAACUGACGCUGAGGCGCGAAAGCGUGGGGAGCGAACAGGAUUAGAUACCCUGGUAGUCCACGCCGUACACGAUGAGUGCUAAGUGUUAGAGGGUUUCCGCCCUUUAGUGCUGCACCAUACGCAUUAGGCACUCCCCCCGGGGAGUACGGUCGCAAGACUGAAACUCAAAGGAAUUGACGGGGGCCCGCACAAGCGGUGGAGCAUGUGGUUUAAUUCGAACCAGCGCAAACAANCUUACCAGGUCUUGACAUCCUCUGACGACCGUACACAUUUGGCUUCCCCUUC
RNAcentral lists this ribosomal RNA (411 nucleotides) under Bacillus sp. (in: firmicutes). RNAcentral's name for it is "bacterial SSU rRNA". It matches the Rfam family "Bacterial small subunit ribosomal RNA", at positions 613 to 1021 of the family's 1533-position model. The record is from RNAcentral. Lineage: Bacteria; Bacillati; Bacillota; Bacilli; Caryophanales; Bacillaceae.